CCUACGGGAGGCAGCAGUAGGGAAUCUUCGGCAAUGGGCGAAAGCCUGACCGAGCAACGCCGCGUGAAUGAAGAAGGCCUUCGGGUUGUAAAAUUCUGUUAUAAGGGAAGAAAGGUGAUAGGAGGAAAUGACUAUCAAUUGACGGUACCUUAUGAGAAAGCCACGGCUAACUACGUGCCAGCAGCCGCGGUAAUACGUAGGGGGCAAGCGUUAUCCGGAUUUACUGGGUGUAAAGGGAGCGUAGACGGCGAAGAAAGUCUGAAGUGAAAGCCCGCGGCUCAACCGCGGAACUGCUUUGGAAACUUUUUUGCUGGAGUACCGGAGAGGUAAGCGGAAUUCCUAGUGUAGCGGUGAAAUGCGUAGAUAUUAGGAGGAACACCAGUGGCGAAGGCGGCUUACUGGACGGUAACUGACGUUGAGGCUCGAAAGCGUGGGGAGCAAACAGGAUUAGAUACCCCUGUAGUC
This 465-nucleotide ribosomal RNA is filed under the name uncultured bacterium. RNAcentral describes it as "partial 16S ribosomal RNA". It matches the Rfam family "Bacterial small subunit ribosomal RNA", at positions 338 to 795 of the family's 1533-position model. The record is from RNAcentral.